UGCUUUCCUGGCGGCGAGUGGCGAACGGGUGAGUAACACAUCGGAACGUACCGGCUAGUGGGGGAUAACCCGUCGAAAGACGGGCUAAUACCGCAUACGCUCUUCGGAGGAAAGCAGGGGACCUUCGGGCCUUGCGCUAGCCGAGCGGCCGAUGUCCGAUUAGCUAGUUGGUGGGGUAAAGGCCUACCAAGGCGACGAUCGGUAGCGGGUCUGAGAGGACGAUCCGCCACACUGGGACUGAGACACGGCCCAGACUCCUACGGGAGGCAGCAGUGGGGAAUCUUGGACAAUGGGGGCAACCCUGAUCCAGCAAUGCCGCGUGGGUGAAGAAGGCCUUCGGGUUGUAAAGCCCUUUCGGCAGGGAAGAAAUCGGCGGGGCGAAUAACCCUGCUGGAUGACGGUACCUGCAGAAGAAGCACCGGCUAACUACGUGCCAGCAGCCGCGGUAAUACGUAGGGUGCGAGCGUUAAUCGGAUUUACUGGGCGUAAAGCGUGCGCAGGCGGCCCGUUAAGACAGGUGUGAAAUCCCUGGGCUCAACCUAGGAAUUGCGCUUGUGACUGGCGGGCUCGAGUACGGUAGAGGGGGGUGGAAUUCCUGGU
This 600-nucleotide ribosomal RNA is filed under the name uncultured bacterium. RNAcentral's name for it is "bacterial SSU rRNA". It matches the Rfam family "Bacterial small subunit ribosomal RNA", at positions 78 to 674 of the family's 1533-position model. The record is from RNAcentral.